CCUACGGGAGGCAGCAGUAGGGAAUAUUGGACAAUGGGGGAAACCCUGAUCCAGCCAUGCCGCGUGAGUGAUGAAGGCCCUAGGGUUGUAAAGCUCUUUCGGCGGGGAAGAUAAUGACGGUACCCGCAUAAGAAGCCCCGGCUAACUCCGUGCCAGCAGCCGCGGUAAU
Molecule: ribosomal RNA, 169 nt
Filed under: uncultured bacterium
Lineage: Bacteria
Description: partial 16S ribosomal RNA
Rfam family: Bacterial small subunit ribosomal RNA
Source: RNAcentral